AAGACAAUAUUUAUAGAAAUUUAAUGAACUAAAGAUAAAAACAAAAAUUAAUUCUAGUUCUUUUGAGCAUCUAAAAUAUGAGCAUUGUCACUUUUAAUCUUAGUUCACUGAAGGGAAAGAGGCAUGAAACUUUCCAGAAUGAAUCCUUAUAAAUGGUGCCAUCUUCCUCUAGGGACACAUUCACUCACUUAUUCUUACAUUCUUUUCUUCCUUUAUUCAAACAUGUUUUCAAGGGCCUAUUAGGUAAAGACAGAUCAAAUAAAUCAUUUUGGACCUCUGGAAAUUUACUGUCCUCAGCAAUCUACAGCUUGUCCUUGUCCUCUGCGAUGUUACCAUCUUCUCUUUUCUCUUCCUCAGCAAGAUGGUGACAAUCAUCGUCCUGCUGUUCCCUUCAGCUUGAUUAACUGCUAUACAGGUUUCUUUCUGUCUAGAAGCUCCAGACCUCCCUUUUCUUAGAGUUCUUAAGAAACCUUGCAAUUGUAAAUUCUUCCUCUGCCACUUUAAUAUGUAAACCUUCCCAUGCCAGUUUUGCAACCCCAAAGUUAUCUCUCUCAAGGACCAGGGAGCCAUUCCUUGAAAACGUAAUCUUUAAGGAAGACCGGCCCCCUACCUCCCAGUCUGGGAGAGGUAAGGACCUAAAUUCAAUUAGCACCAAUUAACAUACACAGAUGGCCCAAUCACUCAGACCAACCUUCCUCCUUAUUUUUUCUAGCCCUUUCUCUUUAGCUCCCUCUGCUUAAAAUCUCUCCCAUUUUUCUUUCACCUGGGUUGAGUUAGUUGCUCUUCCUUAUAGCAAUAGUCAUGACUCCUGGUACAACAGUCUUGAAUAAAGCCUUCCUGCUUGUUUAAUUCUUUCUAGUGUAAUUUUUCUUUGAUAGUUUUUGUCAUGUGUCUUUGUUCUAUCUUCAGUUUCUGCUGCUCUGUGAUCUAAUAGGAACCAAUUUGUUCGUUUCCUUUACUGAACCAUACAUUAAAUUUGAGUCAUAUAUAGACCCCUUUUUUUGAAGAGGGGGAAAAAAUAAAGACCUCCAAACCUAUAAAAAUACCUUUUUUGUUGUUGUUGUUUAAAAUGUAUACCACAAAAAGAAAACUUUUAUAUUGCUAAAUUUUAAAGAAACUAUCAUCAAAAUGAAAACACAAAUUUCAAACAAAUUAUUAUGGAACUUCUGACCCUGAAAUUGUGUGCCCUUUUUCAUUCCAAGUUUUCCAGAGAUCCUGGGAAAGUAGUCUAAGGAACUAUGCUAGAACCUUGAUCAAUGUUCUUUCUGGUGAGAAAACUAUUUUUACACAAAAUAUGUGGUAAUAGCUUACCCUGAAUUUUGUUUUAACUUUCUAUUUUAAAGGACUAGUACUCUUAAGAGUCAAAAAAAUGGACCUAAAUAGGGACGCUUCUAUUAAAGAAUCUUGACCUUUAAUAUGGAAAACUAUAAUUUAGAAUAUCAUUUAUUUUAUCUACUCUCUAGUGUACAUGUUUAAAGCCCUAUGAUUUUGCCCUCUAAGAGUGUGGGCUUGGCUGUUGAUGCAAACUGUCAAUCAACCUCUCUGCCCCCACUUUAGAAGGACUGUCUGCAUCAAAUGGCCUUUAUGUGUCACAAGGGUCAGAUGACAGUUUGGGCUUAAGGCGCACUGCUUAAACAAAUGAUCUGCCUAUUUAGCAUUGACCCGAGACUCUCAGUUUUAAGGUGGAGACAUUUAUUUGAAUAAUAGGAGAAAACCACUGAUAAGUUGCUUUUGCUUAUGAUGAUUUUUUUAAUGAUUUUUCCCAAAAAAUGUGCUACCUCAGUCUUAAUUAGUUAAUUAGUGUUAACUUUUAUCAGUACUAGGCAGGUUUUUUUUUUUUUUUGCUUAUCUGUGUAUAAUAUAUAGAAAAGGCAUUUGGACAUUUACUAGGAUGAACUGUAUAACAUAUCACAGGAAUGCGUAAAAAUGACCAAAAUCAAAUGUCUAAUAGACCUUUCCUCCCUAAAAUUCAUGUUCAUUCCUUUUCAAAAGAAGUCACUCAUACAGGUCCUGAACAAAUCACUGGAGGUGGCUGUUUAAUAUUUGCCAGCUGGUGUUAAUAAUUUAUAAUGUAAAAGAACUAAAGUAUAACAUAUACGCUAUUUACAAAAAUCUGGACAUAUGGGGAAAAACAUGCAGAAGUACAUCUGGCACCUAGGACAUUUUGUCAAAGAAGUAGUGGAAGCUGUGAGAGGCAUGCAGGUGGGGUAGAAGUAGAACUUGACCACAGAAAAGCAAAAGCAACUAAAAUAUAUAUUCUGUUCAGGGUUGUAAAUGUCAAGAAUGCGCAGCUGAAGGAAUUCCUGAGAUACCAGCUCUUGAAAGAUUUGUGGAUUUCACACUGUUGAUAUUAAAUCUAAAGAUACUGGGAUGAAAUUGUUGGAGGAUUUUUUUUUCUUUUUAUGCAGUUUGGUCACACUUUCCUGGUCCAUGAAUAUAGCAUGUGAUCCAUAAAUGUGGAUUUACUAAAAUACAAGAAUCUUCUGUCCCUGCUUCUAUUGGAAAACACAUGUGUUAGCUUUUCUACUCCGAAGAGAAAGGUAAAAUCAGUGUCAUUUAAGGCAGCAGCGGCUUUAAUGAGGGUGAGUCAUAGCACUCAGGGAGGCAAACCUAUUUAUUUUUAUUACACAACACUUUUAACUGGGACCAUUUUAAAAAGGCCAAAUGACAGACAGGGGCCAAGAUUAGAUGCAUCCUCAGUAGACAGCUAGCAUUCCCUGCCAGAAGGAGGAUUUAGAGGAGUAUAGCUGGUAAGAAAUAGCCAACAAUUGGGGGAAGGGGGAGAGCAGAGAAAAAUAAACUCCCUGAAGAAAGUAAAAAAACAGGUCACAGUAAUUUCCCUCAGGACUAAAAUGUGUGACAUGAGUUUUUGCAUUAAGUAAGAAAUUUCAGAGUAAGAGGAACUAGGAAAGAACUAAAACCAUGGGGAAUAAUGUCGCUAUUAUAUUUGGGAGGGCUCAAAUAAAAAGUUACUAAGUCCUUUCCAAACUAACCAGCUAAAUGGUGUGCUAUUUCUCAGAAAGAACUUGCUUCUAGGAAAAAGGAAUUAGGCUUGUUUUCCUGUUUCACAUUCAAUUAUAGUGAUGAAUUUAUUAACUAAUCACCUAUGGUGCAUAUGGUGAAAAGAAAUUUCCUUGCACUGCCGCAUAAAUAUGUUCCAAGACUUCUCAGGUGACAAUACUUCAUACUGGACACAUAAUAUUACUGAAGCAAAGUCACUGUUGACCAUUCUGGAAAGUUAUAAUAUUGUUUCUAGCUUCUUCUAAAAAUGACUAUCCUAUCAAUAGUUAGCCUCUCCAAGAAUGUUAUUCUCCUGCAUUUAAACUAAGCAGUAGUUCAGUGCAUAAGUUUGCAUUUAGCUUUGGGGAAUCUUUCCUUGAACAUACUUUACAUUUUUUCUAGAAGCAAUAUAAAAAUGUGAUUGUCCAAAAAGCCAAAAGUAAGUGAACAGUUCUGCAGGAGUUAUACUCCUUGAGAUAUGUAAAUUCCAAAAGAGGCAAAGGUUUCAUGCAUGCAAUAAACACAGAAAAGAAUCAACAACACCUUCUUGAUCUGAACUACAGAGGCCGCAGGGAAAGCUGGAGUUGCAUUUCGUAGUUGUGCACCUUUGGAAAAAGAUGGAACUCUGCCAGGAGAUCCUUAGGGAUAUAGGAGAAAGAGGUAAUGCCUCAGUAUUGUCCAGAACUGAAACACUCUCUGGAACUCAAUAAAUGUUUGUUUAAAUAAUAAGGAAUGACUUUUGAUAUGGUGCUUAUGAAUAAUUCUGCACAGUGCAAAAAAAAUGGUACAGGUAAAGUUACACGAAGUUUCCUAGUAGUUUGAAAUCUGUAUAGUUGUAAUGCUGCAAUAAGAAUUUGAGGGGGAGAUUAUGGAAAUAAAAUGGUGAAAAUAAUUUAAGUUUUUUUUUAAUUAAAGUAUGAGAGAUGAGUUUAUUGUAUGUUAUGUGAUGAUUUUCUAACUCAGAAAUAUUAAGAUAAUUUUCUUUGAUGAUGUAAUUUUUGUUGUAUAUAUAUUAUAUUUUAUGUAUAUCAUAUAUAUUUUAACAUCAAACAAAAUAAAUCUUUAUAAAUUAAAACAUUUAAAUAAAAACAAUAUGAUCAUUCUUAAACUGAUUUUCUGAUAUAUGAAUGGUAUAAGUCAAUGACAAUUGAAAGACUAAGUAAGAUUUUGAGAAUUUAAAUAUAUUAACACAUAAAGCAAUGGAUUUGUAGCAUGGAGGGUUGAUCUGAAUUUAGGGGGAGAUUUCAUUAAAAGAAACAAGCUUAUGGUCACUUUGCAUGAGAAAAGGUUGUUCUCAGGGCAGUCUCUCAAUUAGAAUGAAGAGAAAAGGAGAAUUUACUUGUACCUUAAGAAUUCUUCAGUUUCCUGAGAGAAGUGUUGGGGCCUAAGGUAAAGUAAAUGGAGAAGAAAAAACCAGAGUGAAGAGGAAGACAAGAGAGGACUUAGGGACAGCAGCUGAGUGAUGGGAAAUGGCUAAGGGAUGUGAAAAAAUAAGGGUCUGAUCUUGAGUUAGAAUUUAUUAUGCGAUCUUGAAAGAAUAAACUUUGACUUCAGACUUUCAGAGUUUGGUACAGGCAUUGCCUUUUAUAUCACAAUUUUAAAUAUUUUUAUAUACACUACAUAAAAUGAGCUUCAGACUGACAACUGUAUUUUAAAAUAUACAUUUGAUGCUCUUUUGGAAAUUUUAUUAUGGAAACUUGCAAUAAUAUAAAAAAGUAGAGAUUAAUAUAAUGAAGUUAUCACCUAACUUAAACUAUGAUCAACUCAGAGUUAAUUUUGUUUUACAAAUACCACCUCACUCUUUGCUACCUGCCUGCCCUGGAUUAUUUUCAAGUAAAUGCCAAACAUUCUGUCAUCUUACCUAUAAAUAUUUCAGUGACUUUCUUCAAAAUAUAAGGACUUAAUUUUUUUAAAUCAUAAUAUCAUUAUUACAUGUAGUUUAUUAAUAAUUUGUUUUAAUAAUCUAGUAAGUGUUCAAAUUUUUCUGAUUAUCUCAUGUUUUUAGCCAUUUUUCAAAUUGAAAUCCAAAUAAGGUCCAAAAUUUGUAAUCAAUUGAUGUAUAUCUUAAAUUUCUUAACAAAGCUUUCCUUUCCCUCUUUCUUGUAAAUUUGUAGGUAUAUUAAAUUGUGCUGUUCUUCUUUAGAAUCUAGAUUUUUUGCGUCAUUAGCAGAUAAAAUUUUGAAUUUUGCUAAUCUAUUAGGUGAGAAACUGUAUCUCAAUGGAUUUAAAUUUAUCUUAAUGUGUGAUCUGGAGCAUCUUUUCAUGUAUUUGAGUGCUACAUGCACUUAUUUCUUUUUCUGUGAUCUUGUAACUUAUAUCUCUUUUCUCUUAUUCUAUUGUAUUAUUGUUUUCUUCUCUACCUUUAGAAGCCCUUUAUAAAGAUAUUAAUUAUUUGUGAUAAAAAUUGCAAAUAUUAUUAUACUUGUUUGCCAUUUGUCUUUUGACUUUGGUGGUGAUUGUGUAUGUUUUUGUGUGUAUGUCUUAAUAUACCAAAUAAAAUUUUAUUUUUAUGCAG
RNAcentral lists this long non-coding RNA (5515 nucleotides) under Sus scrofa (pig). RNAcentral's name for it is "lncRNA (ENSSSCG00000060115.1, ENSSSCG00105007069.1)". The record is from RNAcentral. Lineage: Eukaryota; Metazoa; Chordata; Mammalia; Artiodactyla; Suidae.